GCUGGAAUUGCUGUAAUGGCAGGUCAGCAUACUGCCGUGAAUACGUUCCCGGGCCCUUGUACACACCGCCCGUCACACCAUGAGAGUUGGGAAUACCCGAAGCCUGUGAGCUAACUGUAAGGAGGCAGCAGUCGAAGGUAGAAUCAAUGAUUGGGGUGAAGUCGUAACAAGGUAGC
This 176-nucleotide ribosomal RNA is filed under the name uncultured bacterium. RNAcentral describes it as "partial 16S ribosomal RNA". It matches the Rfam family "Bacterial small subunit ribosomal RNA", at positions 1325 to 1500 of the family's 1533-position model. The record is from RNAcentral.